Non-coding RNA from Pongo abelii (Sumatran orangutan), 89 nucleotides. NCBI's taxonomy places the organism in Eukaryota, Metazoa, Chordata, Mammalia, Primates, Hominidae. The record is from Rfam.
UCUCAUGAUGUGACCCCUCUAGAGGGAAGCACUUUCUGUUGGCUAAAAGAAAAAGAAAGCGCUUCCCUUCAGAGUGUUACGCUUUGAGA